Non-coding RNA from Arabis alpina (gray rockcress), 139 nucleotides. The record is from Rfam. NCBI's taxonomy places the organism in Eukaryota, Viridiplantae, Streptophyta, Magnoliopsida, Brassicales, Brassicaceae.
UAGUUGUAUAAUUAAUGAUAGAUUAAGACAACUAGGGUUUUUAGUUUUAGCUUGUGGUUUGGUAUUUUGAUAGAAGAAAGAUGCCUCUUCUUUCAGCAGCAAGAUCCAUUCUUGGUAGCUUUGUUCUGGAGGCACAUAU